RNAcentral lists this ribosomal RNA (492 nucleotides) under uncultured bacterium. Its description in RNAcentral is "partial 16S ribosomal RNA". It matches the Rfam family "Bacterial small subunit ribosomal RNA", at positions 29 to 507 of the family's 1533-position model. The record is from RNAcentral.
AGUGAACGCUGGCGGUAGGCCUAACACAUGCAAGUCGAACGGCAGCACAGUAAGAGCUUGCUCUUACGGGUGGCGAGUGGCGGACGGGUGAGGCAUACAUCGGAAUCUACUUUUUCGUGGGGGAUAACGUAGGGAAACUUACGCUAAUACCGCAUACGACCUACGGGUGAAAGCAGGGGAUCUUCGGACCUUGCGCGAUUGAAUGAGCCGAUGUCGGAUUAGCUAGUUGGCGGGGUAAAGGCCCACCAAGGCGACGAUCCGUAGCUGGUCUGAGAGGAUGAUCAGCCACACUGGAACUGAGACACGGUCCAGACUCCUACGGGAGGCAGCAGUGGGGAAUAUUGGACAAUGGGCGCAAGCCUGAUCCAGCCAUACCGCGUGGGUGAAGAAGGCCUUCGGGUUGUAAAGCCCUUUUGUUGGGAAAGAAAAGCAGCAGGUUAAUACCCCGCUGUUCUGACAGUACCCAAAGAAUAAGCACCGGCUAACUUCGUG